GUGUCCGUUCAAACCCGAAGCUCUGGUCUUUUUGGCUCAAGUCCCGAAGGUCGAUUUUACUCCCGAGAUUCCCGAGAAUCCCGAGGAAAAUCCGUUUCCCGAGACGAAACUCUGCCCGGUUUUCCAUCUCGCUAUCUUCAAACUUUCAAGUGAGUUUCAUACCCCUUAAUCAACCUUUUUAAUUAUUCUAAAUACUUUUAUAUGCUUUCAAGGGGGGGAUUACAAGUAAAACACACGAGUAUUAUCGUGUGUUACAUAAAGAAACUCUUUUAUAUACUGUUAUAUAUUCAAAUCACAUGCGAUUUAUAAACAUUUAAAGGAACUUUUAUAUAUAUAUAACAUAUGUCACAAUAGCAUUUUACCUUUUAAAAUAUAAUGUUGUUGUAAUGCAUGUAUAAACUAAACUGUUCUUAGAUUUUUCUUGUCUAUCCUAGACUCUACACCAAAAAUCUAUACUUUCAUAAACAAGUGAUUCCUUUUCUCAAUAUUUCUAAACAAACAAGACACGCUUUUUGGAAACUAUAAUAGGUAUAGUUUUACGAACAGAUUUCUAACUCUUAUGUACUAGAAACACAUAUUUCAAGAAGUUUACUUUCGUAUACAAGAACAAACGUAACAUUUUAACAAGUAGAUCUGUUUUUAUACCACGGAUUUGUGAGACACUAACUUCAUGUACGUUCGAGUACACAUUUCAAGUCCUGUAUUAUAUACCAGAAUCCCUUGGAGGGGGAGCAUGGUGUUUGUGUAUAGAUCUAUACGGGCUUGACAACCCGCGCCCUGACUGUUAGCUGCAGUCCACCGUUUGGGGUGACAAACGUCAUAACAUUCCAACGCCUGAAGAACGUUGUGUAUAGGCAUUCAGAGUCAAUAGUAUGGUUAUAAAACUCACAAGGGGUAUUAAAAAUGCAUUGAUUUACAAGGUUUUCAAACUCAUUGGUUAUUUUACAUUUACAUACAUUUUGGAAACAAACAUUGGUCUUGAGUGAAGGCUACUUUUAUACUAGUAGAAAAUAUAGGAUUUUCUAAACACAAACAAACAAAGAUAAAACAUUUCAUUUCAUUCAAACAUUGUCACUUAAAUACUUAUGAAAUUCACCAGCUUAAAUGCUGAUCUACUCUUUCAAAAUUACUUGUAUGUCCCAGGAAAUCAGUAAUUUCAGGUAUUCAUUUCGCUUUUGAUGAAGGGAUGCUGCGGCGCCAGUUUAAUCUCGUAUUUUGACAUCAUAUUGUAAUUGAGUUUUGAACAUGUAACUUUUGACAAAUGUAAACUUUCAAUUAUAUAUAUGAUGGUUGUAUUGCUUUCUUUACUAUGUAUUCAUUUGUUACGUUACCACAUGAAGUCAUCCGCCCCCGAACGUUUCCGCCGUUCAGGUUUGGGGGUGUGACAGAUUGGUAUCAGAGCAAUGUUUAUAGUGAACUAAGUAUAUCGAACCACAUAAGAUAUACAAACUAUAAAUGCUUAAGGGACUAAUACUCUCUGACAAAACAAAUUUUCUUUUUACACUUAAGCAGCAUUUCGUUCAACUUAAAUUGAUAGUUCAUUUAAGUACAAUUACAUGCAUACCACAAACUAUUUUCAUGUUAUACAACUAUACAAGUAUUUAGACAAGUUGACACUACGAUUGAGACUCGAUAUAUGUAAUCAGAUUUUGGACAAAUAUAGCGUGAUCAACUAUAUUUGCCCAAGAUUGGACCAACGUAUAUCGAGGAAUGAUCGUAGUAAGCAACAAGUCAAAACUUACCAAACCAUUACAAGAAUCAAACACAAGAAUUUAAAUACUAUAGGAGUAUUUGCUAUCUAAACUAGUUUAACUUACAUGUUUUACAUGUUCCGACUUUAUUCAAUUCUUAUAACCCUAUUUCUCGUACAGUCAAAUGGCUGGAUUUCACCACCCUGGCGACCCCUACUUUCCCAACCAAGGCAACGGAGGAUGGAUCGAAGAUGAUCCCGAAGAGGACGAGGAACCCAUAGAAGUGGGUGAUGACUCCGGUACCGACUCAGAGCCGGAAGUUAUCGAUCCACCACCCAUUCAACCUCCCGUCUUCGUAAGGAACUUUCAAGGACCGACUCCCGUCUGGGGAAGUCACCUCCACCAUUGGAGCCAACAGCAAAACCUACGCCCUCCCUACGGCAUGUGCCGGGACUUCUAUGAUGUCCGCGGCGGAGGUUCGGCUGAUCGAGCACUCCCGGUAAUGGUGGGUAAGUUAGCCAAUCAGUCCUAUCAGUCUGGAGUACAAGCUAGUCGACUCCGGGAUAUCAACGUGGAAGUGCAGGUUCACACUUCUGACAUCCGUAGGCUGGACAAGAUGCAAGACAACGCUCAAUUCCAAACCGAAGCGUUUCAAGCGCAAAUGAUUGCAGCCCUCGCCGAACUAAGGGAACAACAAGCCGCUUUCGAUAGGCGUCUAAUGGAGUCAAAGCAAUCAGAUACGGAGUCAAGCUCCAAGCGCAACCUUCGACGCAAGUAGUGCUUGUCAAGGACUCAAAUUUUGUUAUAGCUUAGGACCUCGGCUAAAAGUCUUUAAAUUUCUCGAACUUUGUAAUCGGAGACCCUUAUAGGGGUCAAAUUUUCAUGAUCGUUGUAACAACUUUUAUAUUAAUAUAAGUGGCACUAUUACUACUAUGUUGAGUAUUUCGUUCGAACCUUGAAUGGUCUUUGUGAACCCAAAUACUUGUUUCAUACCUUCAGUCUUACAAAUAACUUUCAUUCUUCUAUUUUAAGACUCAUACUAUCAUCUGUUGUUGAACUAUAGCGAUUUAGUUCAUGAGACACAUACAUUUUCCAUUCUAUGAAAUUCUUAUCCUUGUCUUUUCAAUCUAUAGUUGAAGGAUGCCUCCGCGUAGGAAUCCAAGGCGAAACAACGGUGAGGAAGCACCUAUACCACCACCACCUCCACCACCCCAAUUUGAUGCUGUAAUGUUUCAAGCAGCAGUCACCGCAGCGGUGGCAGCUGCCAUGUCACAGAUCAAUAACUCGAGUACUAAUGGCUCGGGAUCUGGCACACACCUAUCCAACCAUGGCGAGAGUCAUGGACCACCUCGAGAAUGCACCUAUAAGGACUUCACUAAUGCCAAGCCCCGGAUGUUUUAUGGUACUGGUGGUGUGAUGGCCCUGAGGCAGUGGAUUGAAAGGACGGAGGCAGUCUUUGAAAUCUGCUCCUGCCCCGAGCACAGCAAGGUCAAAUUUGCAACUUUCACCCUUCUCGAUAAAGCUUUAACUUGGUGGAAUGGCCACGUUAAAGUACUUACCCUAAUCGUGGCAAACUCCAUAAGCUGGGAGAGCUUGAAGGCCAUGAUGAUGAGAGAAUACUGCCCACGGGGAGAAAUUCAAAAGCUUGAACACGAGCUAUGGACUCUCGGAAUGGUGGGUACCGACAUCGCUACUUAUACCAACAGAUUCUGCGAACUGGCAAUCCUUUGUCCAGAUAUGAUUGCUCCCGAGAGCAAGAAGAUAGAAAGGUACAUCUGGGGACUGACGCCCCAAAUGCGAUCAAGCGUGUUAGCUUCUAAACCUGACACCUUUGAAAGUGCUAAGGAACUGGCACAAUCUCUGAUCGACUACGGAGGUCAUCAGAACUCAACCACUUCUGCACCAGCACCACAGAAAGGAAACAACAACAACAACAACAACAACAACAACAACAACAAUGGCAGGAAGAGAGCGUGGAUUAAAGGGAAGGGUGGGUCUUCCCAAGAAUCCGCAAAGAAACAACUGGUGUCAGUAAAUGCUGCCAUUGUACCUGCUACAGCCCCUACAAAUACCUACCCAACAAAGCCUUAUAUAGGUAACCUCCCAAAAUGCACCAAAUGCAAUUACCACCACCAUGGACCUUGUCGAGAUAUGCAGUGCGCCAACUGCAGCAGGAAAGGACACACAGCCCGUUUCUGCAAGGAACCCGCAAAGCCGAUCACUCAAGUUCCCGGUGCGGGUGUAGGGCAGGCUUGCUACGGUUGUGGCGAGGUGGGCCACUACAAGAGAAACUGUCCUAAGGCAGCAGGCACCGGAGGUGUGGGACGAGUUUUGGCAAUAGGCCACGACGAAGCUGUAGCUGACCCAACUAUAGUUGCUGGUACGUUCCUUCUCGAUAAUUCAUACGCAUGCAUAUUAUUCGAUAGUGGAGCGGAGAGAAGCUUCGUGAGUCAAAACUUUAUUCAUUUACUUAAACCUAAACCUAGCAAGUUAGAAAAAUCAUUCACUGUAGAGAUGGCCAAUGGAAAAACCGAAAACACAAAUUGCAUAUACAUGGGCUGUACGUUAACAUUAGACGGCCAUUCUUUCCCAAUCAAUCUCAUGCCGGUUCAAAUUAAAAGUUUCGACGUCAUAGUCGGCAUGGAUUGGUUGAGUCUUCUUCGCGCCGACAUCAUGUGCUUUGAGAAAGCAGUCCGUCUUAACCUCCCUAACAACGAAACAUUAGUUAUCUACGGCGACAAAUCUAGUGCAAACCUUCGCAUCAUUUCGUGCAUCCAAGCUCGAAAGUGCUUGCGGAAGGAUUGUCGAGCAUUCCUAGCGCACAUCGUCGAUACAAGUCAAGAACUGAAGGACAUCAAGAGCAUCUCGGUAGUACGCGACUUUCCCGAUAUCUUUCCAGAAGAACUACCAGGAUUACCACCGCAACGCCAAGUCGAGUUCAGAAUCGACUUAAUUCCAGGAGCUACCCCAGUAGCGAAGUCGCCUUAUCGUCUUGCACCAGCAGAGAUGCAGGAACUUUCCAGUCAACUUAAUGAACUCCUUCACAAAGGAUUCAUAAGACCAAGUUUCUCACCUUGGGGAGCACCGGUCUUGUUUGUAAAGAAGAAAGACGGAUCGUUCCGUAUGUGCAUCGACUACAGAGAGCUGAACAAACUUACUGUCAAGAACCGCUAUCCUCUACCCCGUAUCGACGACCUAUUCGAUCAACUUCAAGGGGCGAACUACUUCUCCAAAAUAGACCUGCGAUCCGGAUAUCACCAAUUACGAGUUCUAGAGGGGGACAUUCCAAAGACAGCCUUCCGAACUCGUUAUGGACACUACGAAUUCGUGGUGAUGCCGUUCGGAUUAACCAAUGCACCAGCAGUAUUUAUGGACCUAAUGAAUAGGGUAUGCCGCCCUUACUUGGAUCAGUUCGUCAUCGUCUUUAUCGAUGAUAUACUUAUCUACUCUCGAAGUGAGGAAGAGCAUAGUCAACACCUACGAAAAGUCCUAGAAACACUGCGAACGGAGAAACUCUAUGCGAAGUUCUCUAAAUGCGAAUUUUGGAUUCGAAGAGUCGAAUUUUUAGGUCACGUUGUUAGCGAGAAAGGUAUACACGUGGACCCCUCCAAAAUUAAGGCUAUUGAGAACUGGUCGGCACCAAAGACACCUACAGAAAUUCGUCAAUUUCUAGGUCUAGCUGGCUACUAUCGCAGAUUCAUAAAGAACUUUUCGAGCAUUGCGAAACCUCUUACUUCAUUAACCCAGAAAGGUGUGGCCUUUGACUGGGAAGCGAAACAAGAGAAGGCAUUCCAGACACUAAAGCAGGCCUUGUGCACCGCACCGAUACUAUCCCUCCCCGAAGGGAUAGAAGACUUCGUAGUGUAUUGCGAUGCUUCAAAUCAAGGACUUGGUUGUGUUCUUAUGCAGAGAGGGAAGGUUAUCGCUUAUGCCUCCCGACAGCUUAAGACACACGAAGUGAACUAUACGACACACGACCUCGAGUUAGGAGCAGUGGUAUUUGCUCUGAAGAUCUGGAGGCACUACUUAUACGGAACAAAGAGUACUAUAUUCACCGAUCACAAGAGCCUUCAACACAUUUUCGAUCAGAAGGAACUCAACAUGCGACAACGACGAUGGGUUGAGUUACUGAAUGACUACGAAUGCGAAAUUCGUUAUCAUCCUGGCAAGGCCAACGUAGUAGCCGACGCCCUCAGUCGAAAGGAAUACACUGGUCGGAGGGUCAAAUCUCUGACCAUGACUAUCCAUUCCCACUUAUCCACACAAAUUAAGGAAGCACAAAUGGAAGCUUUGCAACCUGAAAAUGUGGCGGGUGAAUCCCUGCGAGGAAUGGAGAAGAAUUUAGAAGUCAAGGGUGGCGGAGCCUACUAUCUCAUGGACCGAAUCUGGACCCCAAAUCAUGGUGGUUUCAGAAACGUAGUCAUGACCGAGGCUCACAACUCAAGAUAUUCCGUUCACCCGGGUUCAGAUAAAAUGUAUCUGGAUCUUAAGAAACUGUACUGGUGGCCUAACAUGAAAGCAGAAAUUGCUACCUUCGUGAGUAAAUGUCUUACUUGCGCUAAGGUUAAGGUCGAGUAUCAGAAACCGUCAGGACUACUACAACAACCAGAGAUACCGGAAUGGAAAUGGGAGCGGAUUACUAUGGACUUCAUAACCAAGUUACCCAAGACGACAAGUGGACUCGAUACCAUAUGGGUCAUUGUCGACAGAUUGACCAAAUCCGCACAUUUCCUACCCAUCAAGGAGACUGACAAAAUGGAGAAGCUUACAAGAACUUACUUAAGGGAAGUAGUGCGACUGCAUGGUGUUCCGAUAUCCAUUAUCUCCGAUCGAGAUAGUAGAUUCACUUCAAGAUUCUGGCAGUCACUACAAAGUUCCCUGGGAACUAGGCUAGACAUGAGUACAGCCUACCACCCACAGACAGACGGACAAAGUGAGAGAACAAUACAAACUUUAGAAGACAUGCUGAGAGCCUGCGUGAUUGACUUUGGAAAGGCAUGGGAUAUUCAUUUACCCCUUGUCGAAUUUUCAUACAACAAUAGUUAUCAUACAAGCAUAAAGGCUGCUCCGUUUGAAGCCCUCUAUGGUCGAAAGUGCAGAUCCCCUCUGUGCUGGACUGAAGUUGGCGAUACCCAGUUAGCUAGAGGAAGAGUUCCUGAAAGCACUCUCACCGGUCCGGAGAUCAUACGUGAAACAACAGAGAAGAUCGUUCAGAUUCGUGAACGAUUGAAAGCCUCAAGAGACCGACAGAAAAGCUACGCUGACCAAAGGAGGAAACCUUUGGAAUUCCAGGUAGGAGACCACGUCUUAUUAAAGGUCUCACCGUGGAAGGGUUUAAUACGAUUUGGAAAGCGUGGGAAACUAAAUCCAAGAUACAUAGGGCCUUUCGAGAUUCUUGCCAGAAUCGGCCCUGUGGCUUACAAGCUUAACCUACCGCGCGAACUUAGUAACAUCCAUCCAACCUUCCACGUCUCAAACUUGAAAAAGUGUCUGUCCGACGAGACUCUUGUUAUUCCACUCGACGAGAUCGAGAUCAACGAGAGCCUCAACUUUGUGGAAGAACCAGUAGAAAUCAUGGACCGAGAGGUCAAACAAACAAAACAAAGUCGCAUACCCAUCGUGAAGGUUCGCUGGAACGCCAAGCGGGGACCCGAAUUCACAUGGGAACGCGAAGAUCAGAUGAAACAAAAGUACCCUCAUCUCUUUCAUGUUCACUAGUAUCUUUACUACUUUAAAUUUCGGGACGAAAUUCUCUCUAACGGGGGGAUGAUGUGACAACCCGAUAUUUCAACUCUUUGUAACGACCAAAAUGGGUCAAGUAUUGUAACCACUUCUGAAUAAUAAAAAGUUACUUUCAUAAUAAAAUGUAUAAAUAAGUUCUACUUAAUUUCCUUCUAUGAUUAAAUGUCUUUGAACCAUGAUCGUACGUGAAAAGAACGCCCAAAUCCGACUUCAUAUAGCGAAGUUAUGAUUUUUCCAAGUUCGGCUUAGCAACAGACAGCUAAAAACUCGAAUCGGAAAUCGAGCGACUUUUGGCCGGAAUGACCUAAACGAGAAUCGAAGGUCUCGUCAAUGGUAUUCCAGCGGUAAAAAGUCUGGCAAAAACCGACAUCAGAUAAAGAAGUUAUGAAUUUUCUAAGAAAUUCCUUAAACACGAUGGAUUUUUAAUAAAUAAUAAAAAUAUAAUUUUGGAAUUUGCCGACGGAGUCUAAACGAAAGUUGUAGAGCGUAGUCUCACCUACGCGAGGAUAUAAAGACCAUCGAAAACGGAGUUCGUAUGAAGAAGAUAUGAAUUUUGGAAGUUUAUUAAAUAAAUUAGUUAAUUAUUUAAUUCAAAAUUCGGACAUUAUCCGAAGGGGGGGGUCCGCUUCCUCAUCCGGGUACGCGCCGCGUACCUCUGUACGCCCUGCGUACUCGUAAGACUUGGCCUCGGAUCGUCCACGUCGCCAUAUCCGAGAAAUCCGAUCCAUCCGACCCGCCCGACCCGUCUGACCCGACGUCCCAUCCGACCCGGUGUCCCAUCCGACCCACUUCCCCAGCAACCCGUCCCAUCCGACCCGAGAACCCAGCAACCCGUCCCAUCCGAACCGAAGCAGUCGAGGCUUCGGUCAUGCAUGACGUACGCGUACGCAGCGCGUACGAGCGUACGCCCCGCGUACCGAGGCAGACCAGCCUUCCUAUAAAUAGAAUGCGAGGGUUUCCAAAGAAAGGGUUCAUUUCUCUUCUCUCUCUCUCAACUUUGCCUCGUUUUCCGUGUCCGUUCAAACCCGAAGCUCUGGUCUUUUUGGCUCAAGUCCCGAAGGUCGAUUUUACUCCCGAGAUUCCCGAGAAUCCCGAGGAAAAUCCGUUUCCCGAGACGAAACUCUGCCCGGUUUUCCAUCUCGCUAUCUUCAAACUUUCAAGUGAGUUUCAUACCCCUAAAUCAACCUUUUUAAUUAUUCUAAAUACUUUUAUAUGCUUUCAAGGGGGGGGAUUACAAGUAAAACACACGAGUAUUAUCGUGUGUUCCAUAAAGAAACUCUUUUAUAUACUGUUAUAUAUUCAAAUCACAUGCGAUUUAUAAACAUUUAAAGGAACUUUUAUAUAUAUAUAACAUAUGUCACAAUAGCAUUUUACCUUUUAA
Molecule: long non-coding RNA, 8814 nt
Filed under: Lactuca sativa (garden lettuce)
Lineage: Eukaryota; Viridiplantae; Streptophyta; Magnoliopsida; Asterales; Asteraceae
Description: long non-coding RNA (LSAT_LNC008444)
Source: RNAcentral